This 1434-nucleotide ribosomal RNA is filed under the name uncultured organism. Its description in RNAcentral is "SSU rRNA". It matches the Rfam family "Bacterial small subunit ribosomal RNA". The record is from RNAcentral.
GAUGAACGCUAGCUACAGGCUUAACACAUGCAAGUCGAGUUGCAGCAUGGUCUUAGCUUGCUAAGGCCGAUGGCGACCGGCGCACGGGUGAGUAACGCGUAUCCAACCUGCCUUACACUCUUGGACAGCCUUCUGAAAGGGAGAUUAAUACAAGAUGUUAUCAUGAGUAAGCAUUUUCACAUGAUUAAAGGUUUACCGGUGUAAGAUGGGGAUGCGUUCCAUUAGAUAGUAGGCGGGGUAACGGCCCACCUAGUCUUCGAUGGAUAGGGGUUCUGAGAGGAAGGUCCCCCACAUUGGAACUGAGACACGGUCCAAACUCCUACGGGAGGCAGCAGUGAGGAAUAUUGGUCAAUGGACGAGAGUCUGAACCAGCCAAGUAGCGUGAAGGAUGAAGGUUCUAUGGAUUGUAAACUUCUUUUAUACGGGAAUAAACGGAUCCACGUGUGGAUUUUUGCAUGUACCGUAUGAAUAAGGAUCGGCUAACUCCGUGCCAGCAGCCGCGGUAAUACGGAGGAUCCGAGCGUUAUCCGGAUUUAUUGGGUUUAAAGGGAGCGUAGAUGGGUUGUUAAGUCAGUUGUGAAAGUUUGCGGCUCAACCGUAAAAUUGCAAUUGAUACUGGCAGUCUUGAGUACAGUUGAGGUAGGCGGAAUUCGUGGUGUAGCGGUGAAAUGCUUAGAUAUCACGAAGAACUCCGAUUGCGAAGGCAGCUUACUAACCUGUAACUGACAUUGAUGCUCGAAAGUGUGGGUAUCAAACAGGAUUAGAUACCCUGGUAGUCCACACGGUAAACGAUGAAUACUCGCUGUAGGCGAUAUACAGUCUGCGGCCAAGCGAAAGCAUUAAGUAUUCCACCUGGGGAGUACGCCGGCAACGGUGAAACUCAAAGGAAUUGACGGGGGCCCGCACAAGCGGAGGAACAUGUGGUUUAAUUCGAUGAUACGCGAGGAACCUUACCCGGGCUUAAAUUGCAACCGAAUAUGGCGGAAACGCUAUAGCUAGCAAUAGCGGUUGUGAAGGUGCUGCAUGGUUGUCGUCAGCUCGUGCCGUGAGGUGUCGGCUUAAGUGCCAUAACGAGCGCAACCCUUGCCGAUAGUUACUAACAGGUCAUGCUGAGGACUCUGUCGGGACUGCCAUCGUAAGAUGUGAGGAAGGUGGGGAUGACGUCAAAUCAGCACGGCCCUUACGUCCGGGGCUACACACGUGUUACAAUGGGGGGUACAGAGGGCUGCUACCACGCAAGUGGAUGCCAAUCCCAAAAACCUCUCUCAGUUCGGAUUGAAGUCUGCAACCCGACUUCAUGAAGCUGGAUUCGCUAGUAAUCGCGCAUCAGCCACGGCGCGGUGAAUACGUUCCCGGGCCUUGUACACACCGCCCGUCAAGCCAUGGGAGCCGGGGGUACCUGAAGUGCGUAACCGCAAGGAGCGCCCUAGGGUA